GACGAACGCUGGCGGCGUGCUUAACACAUGCAAGUCGAACGGAAAGGCCCUGCUUGCAGGGUACUCUAGUGGCGAACGGGUGAGUAACACGUGGGUGAUCUGCCCUGCACUUCGGGAUAAGCCUGGGAAACUGGGUCUAAUACCGGAUAGGAGCCAUUUUGAGUGUGAUGGUUGGAAAGUUUUUUCGGUGUAGGAUGAGCUCGCGGCCUAUCAGCUUGUUGGUGGGGUAAUGGCCUACCAAGGCGGCGACGGGUAGCCGGCCGGAGGGGGUGGACGGCCACAUUGGGACUGGGAUACGGCCCAGACUCCUACGGGGGGCAGCAGUGGGGAAUAUUGCACAAUGGGCGCAAGCCUGAUGCAGCGACGCCGCGUGGGGGAUGACGGCCUUCGGGUUGUAAACUCCUUUCGCUAGGGACGAAGCUUUUUGUGACGGUACCUAGAUAAGAAGCACCGGCUAACUACGUG
Molecule: ribosomal RNA, 465 nt
Filed under: uncultured bacterium
Lineage: Bacteria
Description: partial 16S ribosomal RNA
Rfam family: Bacterial small subunit ribosomal RNA
Source: RNAcentral